GCGUAACGACUUGGGCGCUGUCUCGACCAUGGACCCGGUGAAAUUGCACUGGUCGUGAAGAUGCGACUUACCCGCGGAAGGACGGAAAGACCCCGUGAACCUUUACUGCAGCUUUGCAUUGGACUUUGAACCGAUCUGUGUAGGAUAGGCGGGAGGCAGAGAACCGAGGACGCCAGUCUUUGGGGAGCCGACGUUGAAAUACCGCCCUGAUUUGUUUGAGGUUCUAACCGCGGACAGUAAACCUGUUCCGGGACCGUGCAUGGUAGGCAGUUUGACUGGGGCGGUCGCCUCCUAAAGGGUAACGGAGGAGUACAAAGGUACGCUAGGUACGGUCGGAAAUCGUGCUGAUAGUGCAAUGGCGCAAGCGUGCUUGACUGCGAGACCGACAAGUCGAGCAGAUGCGAAAGCAGGUCAUAGUGAUCCGGUGGCACUGAAUGGAAGGGCCAUCGCUCAACGGAUAAAAGGUACUCCGGGGAUAACAGGCUGAUACCGCCCAAGAGUUCAUAUCGACGGCGGUGUUUGGCACCUCGAUGUCGGCUCAUCACAUCCUGGGGCUGAAGUAGGUCCCAAGGGUAUGGCUGUUCGCCAUUUAAAGUGGUACGCGAGCUGGGUUUAGAACGUCGUGAGACAGUUCGGUCCCUAUCUGCCGUGGGCGCUGGAGAACUGAGGGGGGCUGCUCCUAGUACGAGAGGACCGGAGUGGACGCAUCACUGGUGUUCGGGUUGUCAUGCCAAUGGCACUGCCCGGUAGCUAAAUGCGGAAGAGAUAAGUGCUGAAAGCAUCUAAGCACGAAACUUGCCCCGAGAUGAGUUCUCCCUGACUCCUUGAGAGUCCUGAAGGAACGUUGAAGACGACGACGUUGAUAGGCCGGGUGUGUAAGCGCAGCGAUGCGUUGAGCUAACCGGUACUAAUGAACCGUGAGGCUUAACCUU
Molecule: ribosomal RNA, 932 nt
Filed under: human gut metagenome
Description: bacterial LSU rRNA
Rfam family: Bacterial large subunit ribosomal RNA
Source: RNAcentral